UGUGUAGGCGGUUAUUUAAGUUUGGUGUGAAAUCUCCCGGCUCAACCGGGAGGGUGCGCCGAAUACUGAAUGACUUGGAGUGCGGGAGAGGAAGGUGGAAUUCCUGGUGUAGCGGUGAAAUGCGUAGAUAUCAGGAGGAACACCGGUGGUGUAGACGGCUUUCUGGACCGUAACUGACGCUGAGACACGAAAGCGUGGGUAGCAAACA
This 208-nucleotide ribosomal RNA is filed under the name uncultured bacterium. RNAcentral's name for it is "partial 16S ribosomal RNA". It matches the Rfam family "Bacterial small subunit ribosomal RNA", at positions 568 to 774 of the family's 1533-position model. The record is from RNAcentral.